This 271-nucleotide long non-coding RNA is filed under the name Callithrix jacchus (white-tufted-ear marmoset). Its description in RNAcentral is "lncRNA (ENSCJAG00000081701.1)". The record is from RNAcentral. Lineage: Eukaryota; Metazoa; Chordata; Mammalia; Primates; Cebidae.
UAUAAUUUAUUUUUUCUACCAUUUUAUAGGGCCUGAUGAUUGUGAUGAUAAAGUAGACUAUUGCAUAUAAAGAUGGGCUUGAAUUAAAGAAGAAAUAACAGAUACAGUUGCUGAUGGCAAUUGGGCCAUUUUGUUUGUAAUAGAAGGCCAUUAAUCAUCAUAUUUAUUCUACCUUAUCCAACAUGAAAACCUUUUCCUGGAUUGAGUACAGAGCAGGUAAAGCUGAACAACAUUGCUUGCUCUAGUAUUUAUUAACAUGACACCAUCUGUU